UAAUGAAUUAAUUGAAGGAAAAAAAAUAUUUCUCCUCUGAUUGUCCAGAUUGUAUCUAAAAUUUUUUUUAUUCAUCUACUUGAUUAAGGAUCAAAAUUUUAUCUGAUAAGCAAUGGAACAAGAGAUCAAAUCUCAAUUUAUCUAGAUUAAACCUUCACGGAGGUCUGGAUGUGCAGACCCCCUACUUCACAUGCACACC
RNAcentral lists this long non-coding RNA (199 nucleotides) under Elaeis guineensis (African oil palm). RNAcentral describes it as "long non-coding RNA (EGUI_LNC072538)". Lineage: Eukaryota; Viridiplantae; Streptophyta; Magnoliopsida; Arecales; Arecaceae. The record is from RNAcentral.